Suricata suricatta (meerkat) is the source of this 186-nucleotide long non-coding RNA. RefSeq lists it as uncharacterized. The transcript has 3 exons. NCBI's taxonomy places the organism in Eukaryota, Metazoa, Chordata, Mammalia, Carnivora, Herpestidae. The record is from RefSeq and is a predicted model, not a curated record.
AAAUCGAGGGCCAGAGAAGGUAUUCAAUACAGUGAUUCACCAAUUCCAUACAUUAUUCAGUUCUCAUCAUGAAUCCUAGUAUUCCUUUGUGGAGGAGUGGAUCUAAAGCCUUCUAGAAGACAUGGGGCUGAAUCAAGUCUAUCUUUAGGUACUUUGGUACCAAGAACAGUGAAGGGAAGAGAUGAA